AACGAACGCUGGCGGCAUGCCUAACACAUGCAAGUCGAACGCUUAUCUUCGGAUAGGAGUGGCGCACGGGUGAGUAACGCGUGGGAACCUGCCCUGGGGUGCGGGAUAACCGAUGGAAACGUCGGCUAAUACCGCAUACGUCCUGAGGGAGAAAGAUUUAUCGCCCUGGGAGGGGCCCGCGUCGGAUUAGCUAGUUGGUGGGGUAACGGCCUACCAAGGCGAUGAUCCGUAGCUGGUCUGAGAGGAUGAUCAGCCACACUGGGACUGAGACACGGCCCAGACUCCUACGGGAGGCAGCAGUGGGGAAUAUUGGACAAUGGGCGCAAGCCUGAUCCAGCAAUGCCGCAUGAGUGAUGAAGGCCUUAGGGUUGUAAAGCUCUUUCGGCGGGGACGAUGAUGACGGUACCCGCAGAAGAAGCCCCGGCUAACUUCGUGCCAGCCGCCGCAGUAAC
This 452-nucleotide ribosomal RNA is filed under the name uncultured bacterium. Its description in RNAcentral is "bacterial SSU rRNA". It matches the Rfam family "Bacterial small subunit ribosomal RNA", at positions 29 to 524 of the family's 1533-position model. The record is from RNAcentral.